RNAcentral lists this ribosomal RNA (505 nucleotides) under uncultured bacterium. RNAcentral's name for it is "bacterial SSU rRNA". It matches the Rfam family "Bacterial small subunit ribosomal RNA", at positions 28 to 526 of the family's 1533-position model. The record is from RNAcentral.
GAUGAACGCUAGCGACAGGCUUAACACAUGCAAGUCGAGGGGCAGCACAAGGUAGCAAUACUGAGGUGGCGACCGGCGCACGGGUGGGUAACGCGUAUGCAACCUGCCUAUCAGCGAGGGAUAGCCCGGCGACAGUCGGAUUAAUACCGCAUAAAACAAGAGCUUCGCAUGGGGCUUUUGUUAACGAUUUAUCGCUGAUAGCUGGGCAUGCGUUCCAUUAGGUAGUUGGUAGGGUAACGGCCUACCAAGCCGAAGAUGGAUAGGGGUUCUGAGAUGAAGGUCCCCCACACUGGUACUGAGACACGGACCAGACUCCUACGGGAGGCAGCAGUGAGGAAUAUUGGUCAAUGGACGCAAGUCUGAACCAGCCAAGUCGCGUGAAGGAUGAAGGAUCUAUGGUUCGUAAACUUCUUUUAUAAGGGAAUAAAGAGAGGGACGUGUCCCUUAUUGCAUGUACCUUAUGAAUAAGCAUCGGCUAACUCCGUGCCAGCAGCCGCUGUAACAC